This 423-nucleotide ribosomal RNA is filed under the name uncultured bacterium. RNAcentral describes it as "partial 16S ribosomal RNA". It matches the Rfam family "Bacterial small subunit ribosomal RNA", at positions 361 to 776 of the family's 1533-position model. The record is from RNAcentral.
AUUUUGGACAAUGGGGGAAGCCCUGAUCCAGCCAUCCCGCGUGUAUGAUGAAGGCCUUCGGGUUGUAAAGUACUUUUGGAAGAGAAGAAAAGGUAUACCCUAACACCGGAGACUGGUGACGGUAUCUGCAGAAUAAGCACCGGCUAACUACGUGCCAGCAGCCGCGGUAAUACGUAGGGUGCAAGCGGUAAUCGGGAUUACUGGGGGUUAAGCGUGUGUAGGCGGUUCGGAAAGAAAGAUGUGAAAUCCCAGGGCUCAACCUUGGAACUGCAUUUUUAACUGCCGAGCUAGAGUAUGUCAGAGGGGGGUAGAAUUACACGUGUAGCAGUGAAAUGCGUAGAUAUGUGGAGGAAUACCGAUGGCGAAGGCAGCCCCCUGGGAUAAUACUGACGCUCAGACACGAAAGCGUGGGGAGCAAACAGG